CGUUGAAACAGCGGUUCUCGUACGAUCACCAAAGUUAAGCAAGGUCGAGUAUGGUUAGUACGUAGACGGGUAACCGCUUGGAAAUAUCAGGUGCUGUAAG
Molecule: non-coding RNA, 100 nt
Organism: Acanthosepion pharaonis
Lineage: Eukaryota; Metazoa; Mollusca; Cephalopoda; Sepiida; Sepiidae
Source: the annotation of a GenBank genome assembly